Long non-coding RNA from Zeugodacus cucurbitae (melon fly), 1477 nucleotides. RefSeq lists it as uncharacterized. The transcript is spliced from 3 exons. Lineage: Eukaryota; Metazoa; Arthropoda; Insecta; Diptera; Tephritidae. The record is from RefSeq and is a predicted model, not a curated record.
AGUAAUGAGGGGUUAAACUCGCUCGGUAUGGAAUACGUUUUAGCGAGUGUAAAAUAUCGCUGAAAGUGUUUAACAACACUGCCAACAGUUUAUCUGGUAAAUCAUAUGUUGCUUGUAUAUUGAUGUUUGACAAAAUCAUAAAAAUUAAGAAUUUUGAGUUGUCGUUGUUAUUUAAUUUAAAAAGUUUAAUAUUUGCCGUCAUUAGUGUAAAAUUUAAAGCUUAAGUUAAAUGCGAUCGGCGUUCCUAGUUUAUUUUCAGUUGCUUUGUGAACAUUUCUUUAUUUCCGUGUAUAAUUCUUUGGUGUGGAUUUCUUAAUGCUUUUACAGACCAACGACAAGUGAACAAAAUUAGAAUACUCUUGCAAACUACUGAUGCUCGGGUAUAAAAAAUACAGUGAAAAUGAUACAAGCAAACAAAAAAAGUUCAACAGCUUUAAUCUAACGAGGUGGCCCACUAAAUUUGUAAAGCUCUUUCAUGGAAGAUAUAAAAAAAAAACAUAAAACCCUCAAACAAAAACAAAAAAACAUAAAAUUUCGGUAUGCAAGUGAGCAUUUCCAUGUAACACAACCGACGGGGUUGACUGAGCGCAGCACAUGCCAGGGUGGUGUAUGUUGAAAAAAAAUCUUAUUAGCAAUAAAAAACAACUUGCAGCAAUUCAUAAGCAACAACGUUAAGCAUCAACGACGCCGAGCCACAACAUUGAAUGGACUGAGCAGCGCUUACAAAAGCACCAACAAUUGGCGGGCGGAUGGAAACUGUUGGCGCUGCCAGCCAGUUAAGCUAUUUAAUAAGUGAACAAAUAAAGCAUGGCAGCUAAAGGGCAAUCUAAUUUAACCCUCCGUUGUAACGUACGCCUAAUGGUAGGCAACAAAAACUGAGCAUCGGCGGCGACUACGGCAGCAAAUGCGGCACAAUUACUGCGAUGCCACAUAAAUUUCUGAAGUGAAUUUCAGCUAAUCUAAGUAAUCUGCGUGAAAUGAAUAAACCCCCAGCACAAACACAGACACCAACGAGAAAUAAUGGGCGCAAACACAAGCACACGAACACGCGUGCAACGUGCAGUUUCUUCGAGAAAUCCUUGCAGCUCACUUGCUUGCCUGCUUACUUGACUUGACUUGACUAGCGUGUGUAUAGUCAUAGAUAUUUCUUAUCAGCAGCAAAUACAAAUAAGCCACCACCACCACCGCAUUGGUGGCGCAAGGAUGUCGGCUUUUUUACAAUAGACUGGCAGUUGGCAAUUGUUGCGGAAUAUAUUGUUGAAGAAAAGCGCUGAAGCGGCAUUAUAAGCGUUAACUAGCAUUCGUCCUUGCUCGAACGAGGAACAGUGAGUUAUUCACAUAAUCAAGAUGAAUGUAUUUAAGUAAAAUUUAUUGGAAAAUUAUAUACUCAUUGCUUUCAUUUACUUAAUUUAUGAAGAUUUUUAUCUACUGCCGGAAAAUUAUAUGUAGAUUGUUUUCAAUUUUUAUGAUCUAUUUC